This 250-nucleotide ribosomal RNA is filed under the name uncultured bacterium. RNAcentral describes it as "partial 16S ribosomal RNA". It matches the Rfam family "Bacterial small subunit ribosomal RNA", at positions 28 to 281 of the family's 1533-position model. The record is from RNAcentral.
GAUGAACGCUAGCGGCAGGCUUAACACAUGCAAGUCGAGGGGUAUAGUUCUUCGGAACUAGAGACCGGCGCACGGGUGCGUAACGCGUAUGCAAUCUACCUUUUACAGGGGGAUAGCCCAGAGAAAUUUGGAUUAAUACCCCAUAGUAUGUGAGAAUCGCAUGGUUUUCACAUUAAAGUUCCAACGGUAAAAGAUGAGCAUGCGUCCCAUUAGCUAGAUGGUAAGGUAACGGCUUACCAUGGCUACGAUG